Molecule: ribosomal RNA, 402 nt
Filed under: uncultured bacterium
Lineage: Bacteria
Description: bacterial SSU rRNA
Rfam family: Bacterial small subunit ribosomal RNA
Source: RNAcentral
GGGAAUAUUGCACAAUGGAGGAAACUCUGAUGCAGUGACACCGCGUAUAGGAAGAAGGUUUUCGGAUUGUAAACUUCUGUCGCGAGGGAUGAAGAAUGACGGUACCUCGUAAGAAAGCCCCGGCAAACUACGUGCCAGCAGCCGCGGUAAUACGUAGGGGGCGAGCGUUGUCCGGAAUGACUGGGCGUAAAGGGAGUGUAGGCGGCCUUUUAAGUUAUGUGUGAAAGCCCACGGCUCAACUGUGGAAUUGCACAUAAAACUGGGAGGCUGGAGUGCAGGAGAGGUAAGCGGAAUUUCCAGUGUAGCGGUGGAAUGCGUAGAUAUUGGGAAGAACACCGGAGGCGAAGGCGGCUUACUGGACUGUAACUGACGCUGAGGCUCGAAAGCGUGGGGAGCAAACAG